UACGUAGGGGGCGAGCGUUGUCCGGAUUUAUUGGGCGUAAAGAGCGUGUAGGCGGUUCGGUAAGUCUGUCGUGAAAUCCUGAGGCUCAACCUCGGGCGUGCGAUGGAUACUGCCGGGCUAGAGGAUGGUAGAGGCGAGUGGAAUUCCCGGUGUAGCGGUGAAAUGCGCAGAUAUCAGGAAGAACACCCGUGGCGAAGGCGGCUCUCUGGGACGGUACUGACGCUGAGACGCGAAAGCGUGGGAGCGAACAGG
This 252-nucleotide ribosomal RNA is filed under the name uncultured bacterium. RNAcentral describes it as "partial 16S ribosomal RNA". It matches the Rfam family "Bacterial small subunit ribosomal RNA", at positions 524 to 776 of the family's 1533-position model. The record is from RNAcentral.